UACAGAGGAUGCAAGCGUUAUCCGGAAUGAUUGGGCGUAAAGCGUCUGUAGGUGGCUUUUUAAGUCCGCCGUCAAAUCCCAGGGCUCAACUCUGGACAGGCGGUGGAAACUACCAAGCUGGAGUACGGUAGGGGCAGAGGGAAUUUCCGGUGGAGCGGUGAAAUGCGCAGAUAUCAGGAGGAACACCUAUUGCGAAGGCAGCUCGCUGGGACGUAACUGACGCUGAGACGCGAAAGCGUGGGGAGCAAACAGG
Molecule: ribosomal RNA, 253 nt
Filed under: uncultured bacterium
Lineage: Bacteria
Description: partial 16S ribosomal RNA
Rfam family: Bacterial small subunit ribosomal RNA
Source: RNAcentral